Molecule: ribosomal RNA, 475 nt
Filed under: uncultured bacterium
Lineage: Bacteria
Description: SSU rRNA
Rfam family: Bacterial small subunit ribosomal RNA
Source: RNAcentral
AGGAUGAACGCUGGCGGCGUGCCUAACACAUGCAAGUCGAACGUCCUGUCUCGCAAGAGGCAGGGAGUGGCGGACGGGUGAGUACCACGUGGGUUAUCUACCGUGAGGUGAGGAAUACCGGCGAGAAAUCGCCGACAAGACCGCAUAGCCUCGGUGCAAGCCGAGGAAAGCUUUCUCGAGAGAGGGAGCGCCACACGAGGAGCCUGCGCCCGAUUAGCUAGCUGGUGGAGUAACGGUUCACCAGGGCGACGAUCGGUAGCUGGUCUGAGAGGACGAUCAGCCACACUGGGAUUGAGAACGGCCCAGACUCCUACGGGGGCAGCAGUGAGGAAUUUUCGUCAAUGGGGCAACCCUGAACGAGCAACGCCGCGUGCAGGAAGAAGGUUUUCGGAUCGUAAACUGCUUUUCUCGGGGAAGAGAAUGGACGGUACCCGAGGAAUCAGCCCGGCUAACUACGCGCCAGCAGCCGCGGUAA